GAAAUCCUUGCGGAUAAACACAGAGAACACGUGGUUGGAGCGCGGAGACGUGCACGAAUUAAAUCCGAGAGUAGUAAUGAAAGAAAAAUUCGACUAAAUGUUGGGUGUCACAGUGAGAGCUGUUUGAGCCUUAAAUCAUCACAGACAAACAGAGGGUUAAGAGCAUGAGCGCGGCCCUCCUCGGUUGAACUUGAAGAUGACCGCCCCUUCAAAAGAUGGCCUGACCCUUCCAAAAUCAAGCCUGAUUACCCAUCUCUAGGACACUAAGAAGUGCCCAACUUCAAAAGGAGCAGAGACAAUCAUGGGUGGGGUGCUGUGGCAUGGGAGGGGGGAGCCCUGUGCUGUGGCGGUUUGGGCCAGACUGAACGGUCUCAGCCAGGGGGCUGGGGCUAUUAAAAGAUAAAUGUAUUUCUCUGAUGCAUUAUUCAUGAUGUGAGGAGGUGGGGAGGGAGCAGGGAGCCAGAGGCUUAGCGCAGCAGUGGCUCCCUUCUCGGCCUCAUCGGGGCCAAGGCCCCCACUGCACCCACACCCUGAUGCAAGUGAGGGCGAGUGGGGUGGGGGUUAUUCGGGCGACAGCUGUGAGGACAGAGAGGGAGAUAGAGAGAUAAUGCAACAGUAUGUAUUCCCACACACAUAUAUUAAAUGUCAUUACUGCACGUGAAUGGACCUCAAAGUGCAAUAAGAGCAGAUCAAAUAUUUUUCCCUCCACAUAAUUGCGUUGGUUAAGAACUCAAACCUGAUUAUUUCAUUUUUGUAAGAUAGUUUCUGCCGUGAGCUUUCAGUAGAAUUGCUCCUAAGUGGGUUUUUUCUCUUUCUUACAUUAAUCUUACGAACACGCACACACACAUCAGAGAAGUGGAGGAUGGAGCAUCAGACUGGGGUGCUGAAUAACCUCUCAUCAGCUGAUUAAGUAAAGGGUUUGGGCAAAUAUUUUGGAGACAUAUUGGACUUCUAUACUAGAAUGAAUGGCAAAGUGAGCCUUUGUCCAACUCAUCUCUGAUCUGCUAGAAAAGCAGAUUAGGAUGACCCCGGUGUCACUCAUUUGGAUGAGAUGCUGUCGAGAAAAACCAAACAAACUGGAGAGAAUGUCAAACAGCAGAAACGGCUAAGCCUCCUUUGUGUGGCGCUUUUUUUCUUUUUUAUUACAUGCAAAUGUUCAUGUUUGUUCCUUUCGUAACAUUAGACAAACAUGCUAAAACUGUUUUCUCCUUGUUUUCCAUGGGAAUCAUUUACCAAAUGUAUUUUUAAGAGAUUAAGGAAUAAAAACAGUCGCUAUGUCGUGUUCGGCACAAACAUUUAUCUCACAUGUCUCGUGAUGGGAGAAACUACCUGUUCAUGUUUUAAUCAAAUGCUUUCCAAAUCGUUUCAUAAUUGCCUAUAAUUGAACACACACUGUGCAAUUUUGCUGUUUCGUGCCAAUAUCUGUGUUCUGCAAUAAAAUCACACUGACAUGUUUGUAUCAACAGUGCUAUCUCUGCUGUUCAUUUCAGACAUACGUCCACACGUGUUUUGGAAUAAGAGAAUAUUUCUUUGAAUUGUAUUUAAAAUUUCUUUGGAAAUGUGACUAUAACUGAGAAUUCCCUGAUUUAAUUUUAUUUGUCACUAACUGCACAUCCACUCAGCUG
Oreochromis niloticus (Nile tilapia) is the source of this 1625-nucleotide long non-coding RNA. RefSeq lists it as uncharacterized. NCBI's taxonomy places the organism in Eukaryota, Metazoa, Chordata, Actinopteri, Cichliformes, Cichlidae. The record is from RefSeq and is a predicted model, not a curated record. The transcript has 3 exons.